Molecule: small RNA, 116 nt
Filed under: Marmota monax (woodchuck)
Lineage: Eukaryota; Metazoa; Chordata; Mammalia; Rodentia; Sciuridae
Source: RNAcentral
GCUAGGCACCGUGGCACAUGCUUGUAAUCCCAGCAGCUUGGGAGGCUGAGGCAGGACGAUCACUUGUGUCCAGGAGUUCAAGGCCAGUCUAGGCAACAUAGCAAGACCUGUCUCAA